GGGUCGAUGGUGUAGUUGGUUAUCACGCUCGCUUAGCACUCAACGAAGGCGUGCGAGAGGUGUUGGGUUCAAUUCCCAAUCGAUCCA
Non-coding RNA from Mycena vitilis, 87 nucleotides. NCBI's taxonomy places the organism in Eukaryota, Fungi, Basidiomycota, Agaricomycetes, Agaricales, Mycenaceae. The record is from the annotation of a GenBank genome assembly.